AGCGAACGCUGGCGGCAGGCUUAACACAUGCAAGUCGAGCGGGCACUUUCGGGUGUCCGCGGCGGACGGGUGAGUAACGCGUGGGAACGUGCCCUCUGGUUCGGAAUAACUCAGGGAAACUUGAGCUAAUACCGGAUACGCCCUGUUGGGGAAAGGCUUGCUGCCGGAGGAUCGGCCCGCGUCUGAUUAGCUAGUUGGUGAGGUAACGGCUCACCAAGGCGACGAUCAGUAGCUGGUCUGAGAGGAUGAUCAGCCACACUGGGACUGAGACACGGCCCAGACUCCUACGGGAAGCAGCAGUGGGGAAUAUUGGACAAUGGGCGCAAGCCUGAUCCAGCCAUGCCGCGUGAGUGAUGAAGGCCUUAGGGUUGUAAAGCUCUUUUAUCCGGGACGAUAAUGACGGUACCGGAGGAAUAAGCCCCGGCUAACUUCGUG
RNAcentral lists this ribosomal RNA (435 nucleotides) under uncultured bacterium. Its description in RNAcentral is "partial 16S ribosomal RNA". It matches the Rfam family "Bacterial small subunit ribosomal RNA", at positions 29 to 507 of the family's 1533-position model. The record is from RNAcentral.